AGUGAACGCUGGCGGUAGGCCUAACACAUGCAAGUCGAACGGCAGCACAGUAAGAGCUUGCUCUUACGGGUGGCGAGUGGCGGACGGGUGAGGAAUACAUCGGGAUCUACUUUUUCGUGGGGGAUAACGUAGGGAAACUUACGCUAAUACCGCAUACGACCUACGGGUGAAAGCAGGGGAUCUUCGGACCUUGCGCGAUUGAAUGAGCCGAUGUCGGAUUAGCUAGUUGGCGGGGUAAAGGCCCACCAAGGCGACGAUCCGUAGCUGGUCUGAGAGGAUGAUCAGCCACACUGGAACUGAGACACGGUCCAGACUCCUACGGGAGGCAGCAGUGGGGAAUAUUGGACAAUGGGCGAAAGCCUGAUCCAGCCAUACCGCGUGGGUGAAGAAGGCCUUCGGGUUGUAAAGCCCUUUUGUUGGGAAAGAAAAGCAGCAGGUUAAUACCCCGCUGUUCUGACGGUACCAAAAGAAUAAGCACCGGCUAACUUCGUG
RNAcentral lists this ribosomal RNA (492 nucleotides) under uncultured bacterium. RNAcentral describes it as "partial 16S ribosomal RNA". It matches the Rfam family "Bacterial small subunit ribosomal RNA", at positions 29 to 507 of the family's 1533-position model. The record is from RNAcentral.